CCCAAAUUCCCCUCCCAAUUUCCCUCCCAAAUUUCCCUCCCCAAAUUCCCAUCCCCAAUUUCCCAUCCCCAAAUUCCCCUCCCCAAACUUUCCCCCUCCCCAAAUUCCCCUCCCCAAAUUCCCCCCCAGACUCACCCUGAUCCGGGACUUGACCCUUCCCGGGAUUUUGGGGGCCCUGCGGAGCCGGGAGCGGCCCAGGCUGGGGGAGGGCUCCUCGCUGAAGAUGCUGAAGGGGGUCCUGGGCCCCCCCAGCAGCGUUUUUGGGGGCGCCCCCGAUUUGGGGUGUGGGGUGCAGGGUCCCCCCGGCCGCAGGACAAUGGGGGGGACCUCGCUGUCCGAAUCCCCCAGCGAGAAAACCUCCCCAAACCCGGGGGGCUUCGCUUUCGGGGUCUUCCCCACCUUGCCUUUGGGGGGUUUGGUUUUCUUGGGGGGAGCUUUGGGGGUUUUUUGGGGUUCUUUGGGGCUGGCUGGGGGUCGGGGGGUCCAGCUUUGGGCCAGGACGUCGCUGACGGAGCGGCCGAGGGCGGUAGCCACGCGGCCGAGGGUGGCCAAGGCUUUGGCCAGCAGCAGAGUGGCCACGGCCACGGCCAGCCCGGCCACGGGGGCGCUUUGGGACGCCAGGAGGGUCAGACCCCGCUCCAGCUCCUCAUCCCAAAGCAGACCCAGGUGGGAUGGGCCCAGCAGCCCCCGCAGGGCCAGCGUGGAGUAGGCGAUGGCCACCAGCUCGGCCAGCGGGCCCAGGGGGGGACUGAGCCCAGAGGGGUCCCUGAGCCCAGAACUGUUCCCAUCCACAGGGGGAUCCCUGAUCCCAAAGUCGUUCCCAUUGCCAGAGGGAUCCUGCAGGUCCCUGAUCCCAAAGAUGUUCCCACUAUUCCCAGGGGGAUCCUGCAGAUUCCUGUCCCCAUCCCUGAUGGUGUCCCCAUUAUUCCCAGGAAUUCCCCUAUCCUUGACAAUGUCCCCAAUCCCAUUCUUCCCUCCAUUCCCACGGCUCUCAUUCCCAUUGUUCCCAGUUCCAAUGUUCCCUCCAAUCCCAUUGUUUCCCUCAUUCCCAGUGUUCCCCUCAUUCCCACUGCUCUCAAUCCCACUGUUCCCAUCAUUCCCCCCGUUAUUCCCAUUGUUCCCCCCAUUAUUCCUGCCGUCAUUCCUGCCGUCAUUCCUGCCGUUAUUCCCAUUGUCAUUCCUGUUAUUCCUGCUGUUAUUCCUGUUGUCAUUCCCGUUAUUCCCCCCGUUAUUCCCAUUGUCAUUCCCGUUAUUCCCCCUGUCAUUCCUGCCGUUAUUCCCGCUGUCAUUCCCGUUAUUCCCCCUGUCAUUCCUGCCGUUAUUCCCAUUGUCAUUCCCGUUAUUCCUGCCGUUAUUCCCGUUGUCAUUCCCGUUACUCCCGCCGUCAUUCCCGCCGCUCCCCGCCAUCCCAGCCCUGUCCAGCUCCCACUCCAGCCGUUUCCCGGCGCUCCCGCAGCGUUCCAGCACUUUCCGCGCCAGGGCGGCUCCGGUGGCGGCGCUCCCGGCCAGGACGCGGUGCCGAGCCCGCGCCAGGAGCCAGCGCAGCCCCAGCUCCAGCAGCGCCGGCUCGGAGCAGAAGGAGCAGCCGCAGCCCCAGGGAUGGGACAGGAAUUCCAGGCUGUUCCCGUUCCCGGCUCUCAGCUCCGGAGAGGCCGUGAGAGCGUCCGGCUGAUCCGGGAGAGCGGCCGGAGCCAGCAGAUCCAGGGGUGGACCCUUGAGGAAUCCCUCGUCCUCUUCAUUCCCGGGAUCCGGUGGAUCCCGGGGUUUUCUCCUCUCCGGGAGACCCUUGUGGAGCCGGAUCUUGGCUCGGUGCCGAGGAUCCCGCAGGGGUUUGGAUCCUGGAAUUCAGGAUUUGGGAUUUGGAGAGGAUUCCCAGCUGGGUUUUUAACCCUGGGGAGGGGAGGGAUGUUUGGGGUUUAAUUCUGU
This is a long non-coding RNA of Parus major (Great Tit), 1926 nucleotides long. Lineage: Eukaryota; Metazoa; Chordata; Aves; Passeriformes; Paridae. The record is from Ensembl.